This 323-nucleotide unclassified non-coding RNA is filed under the name uncultured Paraglomerales. Its description in RNAcentral is "sequence contains ITS2". Lineage: Eukaryota; Fungi; Glomeromycota; Glomeromycetes; Paraglomerales. The record is from RNAcentral.
AACGCAAAUUGCGCCUUCUUUCGGAAGGCAUGUCUGUUUGAGGGCACCAUUUAACAAAUAAUGUGCGCGUCGUUUAUGGACGAUGUGCACACGUUGAUGAGCUUUUCCGAAAAAACCAGGUUUUUUUGGUGGCGCAUAAUGAACAGCGUGGGCUUUUUCUUCGAUUCUCGUGUAGUAAAUGUUCAACGCUUGGGUUGAGAAAAAGUGCGUGCCGCGCAAUGGGUGUGGCGAAUUUUACCCCUGCCCCAAUGCCACUCUUUCCCUGCGAAAGAACAUCUUUUAUUCAGGGCCUCAAAUCAGACAAGAGUACCCGCUGAACUUAA